Anolis sagrei ordinatus is the source of this 749-nucleotide non-coding RNA. The record is from RefSeq and is a predicted model, not a curated record. NCBI's taxonomy places the organism in Eukaryota, Metazoa, Chordata, Lepidosauria, Squamata, Anolidae.
UGGAUAAUGAGGUCAUGGCAAGAUUUCAAUUGACUGGCUUUAAAAUGCACACACACUACAAUUGCCCUGGUUGGAGCCAUAUAUUCAAGCCAACUAUAUGUGACUGAAGACUUGCUUUUAAAAACUGAAAGCUUUGAAUCUGGAGAUGGUGAUGGUCCCACUAGACACUGGUGGCAUGUCUAGAAACUGGACACAACCUGGCCAAAAAUAGGUACUGGAACAAAAGAAGAAGAAAUAUUUACAGGAGGCAUAGGUUCUAUUUACCUUAAUGUGGAAGAAUACUAUUUAACAUGGCCUUCUUCCCUGAAUCUGGAUCUUGCCUGCCUUUUAGGCCAGUGUGAACAGUUGGGCCACUUCCUAUUCAGAAGUGGCUGUAGCUAUUCACACCGCCAUCCCACUUUGCCAGGUUCAGGCAGCCCAGAGACAAGUGAGAGCACUUAGUUGCUGUGCAUUUUUGGGCUGUAUGGACAUGGUCCAGUAGCAUUCUCUCCUGACAUUUCACCUACAUCUGUGGCUGGCAUCUUCAGAGGACUGUUGGAGGAGAUGAAAGUGGAGUGUAUACUGUAUAUACCCGUGGAAUGUUCAGGGUAGGGGAAAGAACCCUUGUCUCUGUAAAGCAAGUGUGAAUGUUGCAAUUAGCAAGCUUGACUAUCAGUGAAUAAACAUGGAGCUGAAAAGUCCAUCAUUGAGGGUAUCUGCAUUGAGGGUAUCUUACCUUCUCCCAUCGUUCUGGGCUUUGCGGCACCCAU